This 492-nucleotide ribosomal RNA is filed under the name uncultured bacterium. Its description in RNAcentral is "partial 16S ribosomal RNA". It matches the Rfam family "Bacterial small subunit ribosomal RNA", at positions 29 to 507 of the family's 1533-position model. The record is from RNAcentral.
AGUGAACGCUGGCGGUAGGCCUAACACAUGCAAGUCGAACGGCAGCACAGUAAGAGCUUGCUCUUACGGGUGGCGAGUGGCGGACGGGUGAGGAAUACAUCGGAAUCUACUUUUUCGUGGGGGAUAACGUAGGGAAACUUACGCUAAUACCGCAUACGACCUACGGGUGAAAGCAGGGGAUCUUCGGACCUUGCGCGACUGAAUGAGCCGAUGUCGGAUUAGCUAGUUGGCGGGGUAAAGGCCCACCAAGGCGACGAUCCGUAGCUGGUCUGAGAGGAUGAUCAGCCACACUGGAACUGAGACACGGUCCAGACUCCUACGGGAGGCAGCAGUGGGGAAUAUUGGACAAUGGGCGCAAGCCUGACCCAGCAAUACCGCGUGGGUGAAGAAGGCCUUCGGGUUGUAAAGCCCUUUUGUUGGGAAAGAAAAGCAGCAGGUUAAUACCCCGCUGUUCUGACGGUACCCAAAGAAUAAGCACCGGCUAACUUCGUG